GGGGCCUUAGCUCAGCUGGGAGAGCGCUACGAUGGCAUUGUAGAGGUCAGGAGUUCGAUCCUCCUUGGCUCCACCA
RNAcentral lists this transfer RNA (76 nucleotides) under Sandarakinorhabdus sp. RNAcentral's name for it is "tRNA-Ala". It matches the Rfam family "tRNA". From Rfam's summary of the family: Transfer RNA (tRNA) molecules are approximately 80 nucleotides in length. Their secondary structure includes four short double-helical elements and three loops (D, anti-codon, and T loops). Further hydrogen bonds mediate the characteristic L-shaped molecular structure. tRNAs have two regions of fundamental functional importance: the anti-codon, which is responsible for specific mRNA codon recognition, and the 3' end, to which the tRNAs corresponding amino acid is attached (by aminoacyl-tRNA synthetases). tRNAs cope with the degeneracy of the genetic code in two manners: having more than one tRNA (with a specific anti-codon) for a particular amino acid; and 'wobble' base-pairing, i.e. permitting non-standard base-pairing at the 3rd anti-codon position. Lineage: Bacteria; Pseudomonadati; Pseudomonadota; Alphaproteobacteria; Sphingomonadales; Sphingosinicellaceae. The record is from RNAcentral.